RNAcentral lists this ribosomal RNA (442 nucleotides) under uncultured Candidatus Saccharibacteria bacterium. Its description in RNAcentral is "bacterial SSU rRNA". It matches the Rfam family "Bacterial small subunit ribosomal RNA", at positions 338 to 795 of the family's 1533-position model. Lineage: Bacteria; Candidatus Saccharimonadota. The record is from RNAcentral.
CCUACGGGAGGCAGCAGUGAGGAAUCUUCCACAAUGGGCGAAAGCCUGAUGGAGCAACGCCGCGUGAAGGAUGAAGGCCUUCGGGUUGUAAACUUCUUUUAUGAGUGAAGAAUAUGACGGUAACUCAUGAAUAAGCACCGGCUAACUACGUGCCAGCAGCCGCGGUCAUACGUAGGGUGCGAGCAUUAUCCGGAGUGACUGGGCGUAAAGAGUUGCGUAGGCGGUAAGUCAAGUGAAUAGUGAAACCUGGUGGCUCAACCAUACAGACUAUUAUUCAAACUGGCUUACUCGAGAGUGGUAGAGGUCACUGGAAUUUCUUGUGUAGGAGUGAAAUCCGUAGAUAUAAGAAGGAACACCGAUGGCGUAGGCAGGUGACUGGACCAUUUCUGACGCUGAGGCUCGAAAGCGUGGGGAGCGAACAGGAUUAGAUACCCUUGUAGUC